CCUACGGGAGGCAGCAGUGGGGAAUCUUGCGCAAUGGGCGAAAGCCUGACGCAGCAACGCCGCGUGCGGGAAGAAGGCUUUCGGGCUGUAAACCGCUUUCAGCAGGAACGAAAAUGACGGUACCUGCAGAAGAAGGAGCGGCCAACUAUGUGCCAGCAGCCGCGGUGAUACAUAGGCUUCAAGCGUUGUCCGGAUUUAUUGGGCGUAAAGAGUUCGUAGGCGGUCGAGUAAGUCGGGUGUGAAAAUUCUGGGCUCAACCCAGAGACGCCACCCGAUACUGCUUGACUUGAGUUCGAUAGGGGAUGGGGAAUUCCUAGUGUAGCGGUGAAAUGCGCAGAUAUUAGGAGGAACACCGGUGGCGAAGGCGCCACUCUGGAUCGAUACUGACGCUGAGGAACGAAAGCAUGGGUAGCAAACAGGAUUAGGAUACCCUGGUAAGUCCAUGCCGUAAACGGUGGGCACUAGGUGUGGGUUUCUAUUAACGAAAUCCGCGCCGUCGCUAACGCAUUAAGUGCCCGCUGGGGAAGUCGGUGCAAGCUAAACNCAAAGGAAUUGACGGCUUGAGAGUUGCGAGCGCGACGAGGGAGAG
RNAcentral lists this ribosomal RNA (589 nucleotides) under uncultured bacterium. RNAcentral describes it as "bacterial SSU rRNA". It matches the Rfam family "Bacterial small subunit ribosomal RNA", at positions 338 to 942 of the family's 1533-position model. The record is from RNAcentral.